GCGAAGGUGGCGGAAUUGGUAGACGCGCUAGCUUCAGGUGUUAGUGUCCUUACGGACGUGGGGGUUCAA
RNAcentral lists this transfer RNA (69 nucleotides) under Escherichia coli. RNAcentral's name for it is "tRNA-Leu". RNAcentral also lists the same sequence under 4 other names. The record is from RNAcentral. Lineage: Bacteria; Pseudomonadati; Pseudomonadota; Gammaproteobacteria; Enterobacterales; Enterobacteriaceae.